UUGUUUUGAUUUUUAAUCAUGAUUUAGACAUAAGACACGAUUCAUAAGGGUUUGAGUUGGGCUGUCGGCGGGCGCGGGCCAGGGGCCGCCUCGCGGCGGUCCCCCGGCGGUCGUUAGACGGGCCCACCGAAGCAACAAUGGUUCAAUAAACAAAGGGUUGGGAGGUCGGGCCUGAAAGACCCUAACUCGUUAAUGAUCCUUCCGCAGGUUCACCUACGGAAA
This 222-nucleotide unclassified non-coding RNA is filed under the name uncultured fungus. Its description in RNAcentral is "sequence contains ITS1". The record is from RNAcentral. Lineage: Eukaryota; Fungi.